Molecule: non-coding RNA, 1390 nt
Organism: Schizosaccharomyces pombe (fission yeast)
Lineage: Eukaryota; Fungi; Ascomycota; Schizosaccharomycetes; Schizosaccharomycetales; Schizosaccharomycetaceae
Source: the annotation of a GenBank genome assembly
AAAAUUGGCAAUAAUAUAAACAAAGGCGCACGGUUGCUAAAAGGUUGACUAAAAAGGGAUUGUAUCUAAUAAGUCGAAUACAGUAAUAUAUAUCUAGUGCAUGACCCAACUAAAAGACUCAUAAUCUUAAAAAAUUAUAAUUGUCCAAGAUAAAUAAGGCACUCAUAUUAAAGAGAUGGAAGGUAGAAUCAUUAAGAAGAUGUUGAAGGCAAGAUGAAAUGCUUUUUAACCUUCGCACCCCUUGAUAUCAAUCGAUCAUUACCAAUUAAUUAGGUAUUCAAAUCCAUUAAAAAGGAAAGCUUAUUAAUUAUUCCAAACGAUUAUGAUCGCCAAAAGGAUUGUUUACAUCCAAAUCUUCUGAUCUCUGAGCAUUAGAACCUCCGCUACUCGAGCGAGAUAUGUAAGAAGCCCGAUCAUCAAGGUGACGAGAAUAUGAAGAACUAUAGGAUCCACUAUCUGAACUAUAAUCUGAGUUUUCGGAGCAUUUUUCCUUGAAUGCAUCAAUGGCUGUCACAAUUUCAUCGUUUGCCUUCAAGAGAUUGGCUAACCACAUCUCGUCUUGAAUAGCUUGUAUGUAGCGCAACAAGGAGCGAUGAGCACGUUUACAAUCCACAUAAUAAACCAUGAUUUGCUUGUUUUUGGCCGGAUUUUCUGUGUUAGGAUUGAUUCGGACAAGGCUAUUAGAAAGAUUGGUAGCAGCCAUGCUGGAAGAGGCUAUCAAUCUUUCUAAAAUUGGACCAACCUUUUUAAGAUUGAUAGUGGGUUGUUCAGAAUGCGAAGCAGAUGAUUGUCGUUGAGGAAGUCGAGAUACUAAACUACUCAUGCUUUCCAUUCCACGAACAUUAGAAUAGUCAUUGUGCCAAAGUUUGAUCAUAUGGAUAGCACGCUUACGAACGGGUUUAGAAUAUUCAGAAUUUGUUGCACAUUGCAACAUUCGGUCUUCCAAUUUUUCGUCUGAGAAAUUUUGUAAAAAAUGAGAGCCAGCAUUUUCAAUUAAAGCCUGGAGAAUAACAAGUGCCCGAACUUGUUCAUGAGGUGUACUGUACUUUAACUUCUUACGAAGGGUACGAGAAGCCUCUCGCGGACCAGUAACAGUUAAAUUAACGGCUUCAGAUAAUUGAACGAUACCAGACAAAUCCUCAUCGUCGGUAUCUCUAGAGGUUAAACGAUCGAUAUAAGUGGUGACAGCAGUAAUUGGAACUGUUUCACUGAAAAUUCCCAUUAUAAAUAAGAUGAAAUAGUGAUUUUAAUUAUUCACUGAGAUAAUGAUAGCUUGAGUGUUUGAUGGCUUGAUGGAACAAAUUAAAGUCUGAAAAUAUAUAGCAGCAAGGAAUAAUUUUCAAUCGAUUGUAAACGGACCUUCCAAUAAACGAAAGUAGUACCUUCUGGU